GCAUCGGGCGGGGCGUUCUGGGAUGCGCCCCUCGGAUGGAUGCGAUCCGACCUCUACAGGGGAUGCCCGCCGUCGACCCAACGGCCGGCAGC
Regulatory RNA element from Oceaniovalibus guishaninsula JLT2003, 92 nucleotides. It matches the Rfam family "Rhodo-rpoB RNA". The record is from Rfam. NCBI's taxonomy places the organism in Bacteria, Pseudomonadati, Pseudomonadota, Alphaproteobacteria, Rhodobacterales, Roseobacteraceae.